GCCCAUACCACGCUGAAAUAUCGGUUCCCGUAUAAUCACUGAAUUUAAGCAACGUCGAGCCUGUUCAGUACCUAGAUGGGUGACCGCUUAGCAAUACAGGUGCU
Acanthosepion pharaonis is the source of this 104-nucleotide non-coding RNA. Lineage: Eukaryota; Metazoa; Mollusca; Cephalopoda; Sepiida; Sepiidae. The record is from the annotation of a GenBank genome assembly.